AUUGAACGCUGGCGGCAUGCCUUACACAUGCAAGUCGAACGGCAGCACGGGAGCAAUCCUGGUGGCGAGUGGCGAACGGGUGAGUAAUAUAUCGGAACGUGCCCGGUCGUGGGGAUAACGUAGCGAAAGCUACGCUAAUACCGCAUACGAUCUACGGAUGAAAGCGGGGGAUCGCAAGACCUCGCGCGAUUGGAGCGGCCGAUAUCAGAUUAGGUAGUUGGUGAGGUAAAGGCUCACCAAGCCGACGAUCUGUAGCUGGUCUGAGAGGACGACCAGCCACACUGGGACUGAGACACGGCCCAGACUCCUACGGGAGGCAGCAGUGGGGAAUUUUGGACAAUGGGCGCAAGCCUGAUCCAGCAAUA
RNAcentral lists this ribosomal RNA (365 nucleotides) under uncultured bacterium. RNAcentral's name for it is "bacterial SSU rRNA". It matches the Rfam family "Bacterial small subunit ribosomal RNA", at positions 30 to 396 of the family's 1533-position model. The record is from RNAcentral.